RNAcentral lists this ribosomal RNA (414 nucleotides) under uncultured bacterium. RNAcentral describes it as "bacterial SSU rRNA". It matches the Rfam family "Bacterial small subunit ribosomal RNA", at positions 362 to 776 of the family's 1533-position model. The record is from RNAcentral.
UCUUGCGCAAUGGUCGAAAGACUGACGCAGCGACGCCGCGUGCGGGAGGAAGCCCUUCGGGGUGUAAACCGCUGUUACUCGGGACGAAUCUCCUGCUUUUGCAGGAUUGACGGUACCGGGGGAGGAAGCACCGGCUAACUCUGUGCCAGCAGCCGCGGUAAUACAGAGGGUGCGAGCGUUGUCCGGAAUCACUGGGCGUAAAGGGCGCGUAGGCGGCUUUGCAAGCGUGCGGUGAAAGCUCGGGGCUUAACUCCGAGUCUGCCGUGCGAACUGUGAGGCUUGAGUCUGGUAGAGGUCGAUGGAAUUCCGGGUGUAGCGGUGGAAUGCGUAGAGAUCCGGAAGAACACCGGUGGCGAAGGCGGUCGACUGGGCCAGUACUGACGCUGAGGCGCGACAGCGUGGGGAGCAAACAGG